UCUCCGGGCUUAACCCGGAGCGGUCAAGUGAUACUGUCGUGCUAGAGUGCGGAAGGGGCAACUGGAAUUCUCGGUGUAGCGGUGAAAUGCGUAGAUAUCGAGAGGAACACCUGCGGCGAAGGCGGGUUGCUGGGCCGACACUGACGCUGAGGCGCGAAAGCUAGGGGAGCGAACGGGAUUAGAUACCCCGGUAGUCCUAGCCUUAAACGAUGAAUGCUUGGUGUCCGGGGUUAGACAGUCCCCGGGUGCCGUCGCUAACGCUUUAAGCAUUCCGCCUGGGGAGUACGCACGCAAGUGUGAAACUCAAAGGAAUUGACGGGGACUCGCACAAGCGGUGGAGCAUGUGGUUUAAUUCGACGCAACGCGAAGAACCUUACCUGGGCUAGAAUGCCUCUGACAACCCUAGAGAUAGGGCCUUGUGGGUAAAACCAGACAGAGUGCAAGGUGCUGCAUGGCUGUUCGUCAGCUCGUGUCGUGAGAUGUUGGGUUAAGUCCCGCAACGAGCGCAACCCUUGUCAACUGUUUGC
RNAcentral lists this ribosomal RNA (527 nucleotides) under uncultured Acidobacteriota bacterium. RNAcentral's name for it is "bacterial SSU rRNA". It matches the Rfam family "Bacterial small subunit ribosomal RNA", at positions 600 to 1119 of the family's 1533-position model. The record is from RNAcentral. Lineage: Bacteria; Pseudomonadati; Acidobacteriota.